GCAUCAGGAAGAAAGCUUGCUUUCUUUGCUGGCGACCGGCGCACGGGUGAGUAACACGUAUCCAACCUGCCCUUUACUCGGGGAUAGCCUUUCGAAAGAAAGAUUAAUACCCGAUGGGAUAAUUAUUCCGCAUGGUUUGAUUAUUAAAGGAUUCCGGUAAAGGAUGGGGAUGCGUUCCAUUAGGUUGUUGGUGAGGUAACGGCUCACCAAGCCUUCGAUGGAUAGGGGUUCUGAGAGGAAGGUCCCCCACAUUGGAACUGAGACACGGUCCAAACUCCUACGGGAGGCAGCAGUGAGGAAUAUUGGUCAAUGGGCGCUAGCCUGAACCAGCCAAGUAGCGUGAAGGAUGAAGGCUCUAUGGGUCGUAAACUUCUUUUAUAUAAGAAUAAAGUGCAGUAUGUAUACUGUUUUGUAUGUAUUAUAUGAAUAAGGAUCGGCUAACUCCGUGCCAGCAGCCGCGGUAAUACGGAGGAUCCGAGCGUUAUCCGGAUUUAUUGGGUUUAAAGGGAGCGUAGGUGGACUGGUAAGUCAGUUGUGAAAGUUUGCGGCUCAACCGUAAAAUUGCAGUUGAUACUGUCAGUCUUGAGUACAGUAGAGGUGGGCGGAAUUCGUGGUGUAGCGGUGAAAUGCUUAGAUAUCACGAAGAACUCCGAUUGCGAAGGCAGCUCACUGGACUGCAACUGACACUGAUGCUCGAAAGUGUGGGUAUCAAAC
This 714-nucleotide ribosomal RNA is filed under the name uncultured bacterium. RNAcentral's name for it is "bacterial SSU rRNA". It matches the Rfam family "Bacterial small subunit ribosomal RNA", at positions 69 to 773 of the family's 1533-position model. The record is from RNAcentral.